UAAAACAAACAAAAAGCCAAACGUUUCCCAGAAUGCAUUUCUGUUUAUCAUGUCCUUCAGUCAUACAGAAAGCAUACAUGGCACCUAGGUUCACACAGAGCCUCUUUCUAUGGCUCUGGGCUCACCGUGCUACAAAGUGCCGCUGCCACACGUAAGACCAUCCUCCUAUUUUUCAGGCUACUGAAUCUGCCCCUGCAACAAUUCCUGAACAAAUUGUUGCUAAUAGGACAUAUUGGAGCUGCAUUGAGAUUUUAUGAGGCUACUGGCAGGAUUUACAUACUACACUACAUGGCCAAAAUAUCUGGAUGCCCCUUGGUCUGGGACUGUUUUUCGAGGUUUGGGAUGGACCCCUUCAUUCCAAUAAAGUAGUGCCUAAAGAGGACCAAUUCCCCAGCAGGCUGACCGCACAGCCUUUGAUCAUGGAGCGAGAGAGAUUAACAAGCUGGAUGGAGGUGAUGAGUUUUGUUGCCUGGAGGGAGACGUUGCUGAUCGCUUGCUGGUGAAGUUCGGCGAGAAGAGCAGCGGGGUGGUUUUGUCAGCGAGUCAGGAGAACAUCUACUGAUCCCUAGCCAGCUCCCCGUCACCCCGGGAAACCACGUCGUGACAUCACACUGGAGGCCGACUGGUGAAAAGGUGACCCGGAUAAUCAGAAUUUUAUUUCACUGAAAUGGAGCACAUGAAAGAAACAUUCAACCAGACUCAAACUCUCCGAAGAUCUGCACAGCGAUCACUUUCAUUCACGCCGCGUGUCGGGGCUCUGAUUGGAGGAGGUCUGAUCUCCCAGCCAGUUAAUAAGCAUUGAUUCAGACCCGACCGACGUCCAUCUGAUAUCCGACGCAGGAAAAGUGCCAGCCUCUGAUUAAAUUCCGCCUGCUUUGGGUUCCUGCGCUCUUAUCCGCUGAUCUGCUGUCAGGGGCGGAGCCGCGGCUGUUACUGAUUCAAUAAGGCGCUGUCAGAAUGCCACCGUGACGUCCUCUCCCAAACCCGCCGGGCUGUGAUUUAUCCCCGCUCCCCGCGCUCGCUUCCACUGGAGGCCGAGCGCCUCAGUGAUGGACGACAGCGCGGGCGGCGCGGUCGCCGCUAUUCCCCUUCCAAACGGGGAAACUCCGCCGCGGGACGGAUGGAGUGGGAGCCAUGAAUGCUGCGGGGGGGGGGGGAA
Molecule: long non-coding RNA, 1159 nt
Organism: Anguilla rostrata (American eel)
Lineage: Eukaryota; Metazoa; Chordata; Actinopteri; Anguilliformes; Anguillidae
Exons: 6
Source: RefSeq, a predicted model, not a curated record